GCCUGCCCAAUGGUUGUAUCUAAAAGCGGUUGAUAAAAGUCGACCUCGUAAGGACAAUUGAAUGGCCGCGGUAACACUGACCGUGAUAAUGUAGCGUAAUCAAUAGCCAAUUAAUUGUUGGCCAGUAUGAAUGGCGCCACGAAGGCCCCACUGUCUUAAGGAAAUUCCCAGUGAAAUUGAAUUCGUAGUGAAGAUGCUACGUGCAAUUUGUUAGACGAAAAGACCCCGUUGAGCUUUACUGGAGCACUUACAUGGCCCUGGCCUUCCCAUGCUUGGGAACCGGCCGAAUUUCCCUAUCAAAUGAUAGGCUACUAGAAAAUGGGCGGCUUAGAUUAUGUGGCAGCCCCCCGCUGGGGCAAAUGACACCCCACUCCCCCAUGUCAAAGGGGCUAACCCCCCCCCUUGGGGGGACAGUGUAAGUAGGACAGUUUGGUUGGGGCGACCGCCUUUUAAAGAGUAACGAAGGUGCGCUUAAGGUGCGCAAUAAAUGACUGAAGCCUGACUGCGAGGGGGACACCCCGAGCAGACACCCCAAAGCCCGCCCGAAGGGCGGCGGUGGGGUGG
Molecule: ribosomal RNA, 564 nt
Filed under: Neozoanthus sp. GBR
Lineage: Eukaryota; Metazoa; Cnidaria; Anthozoa; Zoantharia; Neozoanthidae
Description: partial 16S ribosomal RNA
Rfam family: Bacterial large subunit ribosomal RNA
Source: RNAcentral